AAACACUUUCAGCAACGGAUGUCUUGGCUCCCACAACGAUGAAGAACGCAGCGAAAUGCGAUACGUAAUGCGAAUUGCAAAUCUUAGUGAGUCAUCAAAAUUUUGAACGCAUCUUGCACUUC
Molecule: ribosomal RNA, 122 nt
Filed under: Paraphysomonas sp.
Lineage: Eukaryota; Chrysophyceae; Chromulinales; Paraphysomonadaceae
Description: 5.8S ribosomal RNA
Rfam family: 5.8S ribosomal RNA
About the family: 5.8S ribosomal RNA (5.8S rRNA) is a component of the large subunit of the eukaryotic ribosome. It is transcribed by RNA polymerase I as part of the 45S precursor that also contains 18S and 28S rRNA.
Source: RNAcentral